This 1098-nucleotide ribosomal RNA is filed under the name uncultured bacterium. Its description in RNAcentral is "bacterial SSU rRNA". It matches the Rfam family "Bacterial small subunit ribosomal RNA", at positions 1 to 1115 of the family's 1533-position model. The record is from RNAcentral.
UUCGCCCUUAGGGUUUGAUUAUGGCUCAGGAUGAACGCUAGCGGCAGGCCUAAUACAUGCAAGUCGGACGGGAUUCAACAGCUUGCUGUUGAUGAGAGUGGCGCACGGGUGCGUAACGCGUGAGCAACCUGCCCAUUUCAGGGGGAUAGCCCGGAGAAAUCCGGAUUAGGACCGCAUAUGAUCACGUUGCCGCAUGGCAUUGUGAUGAAAUAUUCAUAGGAAAUGGAUGGGCUCGCGUGACAUUAGCUAGUUGGUAGGGUAACGGCCUACCAAGGCGACGAUGUCUAGGGGCUCUGAGAGGAGAAUCCCACACACUGGUACUGAGACACGGACCAGACCCCUACGGGAGGCAGCAGUGGGGAAUAUUGCACAAUGGGGGAAACCCUGAUGCAGCGACGCAGCGUGCGGGAUGACGGCCUUCGGGUUGUAAACCGCUUUCAGCAGGGAAGAAGCGAAAGUGGCGGUACCUGCAGAAGAAGUACCGGCUAACUACGUGCCAGCAGCCGCGGUAAUACGUAGGGUACGAGCGUUGUCCGGAAUUAUUGGGCGUAAAGAGCUCGUAGGUGGUUGGUCACGUCUGCUGUGGAAACGCAACGCUUAACGUUGCGCGUGCAGUGGGUACGGGCUGACUAGAGUGCAGUAGGGGAGUCUGGAAUUCCUGGUGUAGCGGUGAAAUGCGCAGAUAUCAGGAGGAACACCGAUGGCGAAGGCAGAUCUCUGGGCCGUAACUGACGCUGAGGAGCGAAAGAGUGGGGAGCAAACAGGCUUAGAUACCCUGGUAGUCCACUCCGUANACGUUGGGAACUAGUUGUGGGGGCCUUUCCCACGUCUCCGUGACGCAGCUNACGCAUUAAGUCCCCGCCUGGGGAGUACGGCCCGCAGGGCUAAACUCNAAGGAAUUGACGGGGAACCGCANCAGCNNGCGAAGCAUGCGAUUAAUUCGAUGNCACGCGAAGAACCUUACCAGGGCUGACAUACACCGNANNACGCGAGAGAUCGUCGCCCCCUGNNUGUCGUGUACAGUGGUGCAUGGUUGUCGUCAGCUCCGUGUCCUGAGAGUUGGGUUAAGUCCCGCACGAGCGCACCCUUGUCAUUAGU